Molecule: non-coding RNA, 360 nt
Organism: Sander lucioperca (pikeperch)
Lineage: Eukaryota; Metazoa; Chordata; Actinopteri; Perciformes; Percidae
Source: the annotation of a RefSeq genome assembly
AUGAAACAUUGGCUGUGGAUUAUUCUUGCUGCUCUUUUCUUUGAGUGUAAAGGAGAAGACAGAGUGAUCCAGCCAACAGGAGAUGUCAUUACUACUGAAGGAGAUACAGUUACUCUUGGCUGUACAUUUGAGACAACUGAUCCAAGUCCAACGUUGUUCUGGUACAAACAAGGAGAAAAUGAUUACCCAAAGAUGAUGCUGCAACGUUUCUCUGUGAAAACAGAUAAUUCUAAAGAGCAAGAGAGAAUUGAUGCAACAAUCAAGGAUAAGUCAGUUCCUCUGAUGAUCCAGAAGCUUCAGCUGUCUGACUCUGCUGUGUACUACUGUGCUCUGAGGCCCACAGUGACAGGAAACACCAAA